GAUGAACGCUGGCGGCGUGCCUAAUACAUGCAAGUCGAGCGAACGGACGAGAAGCUUGCUUCUCUGAUGUUAGCGGCGGACGGGUGAGUAACACGUGGAUAACCUACCUAUAAGACUGGGAUAACUUCGGGAAACCGGAGCUAAUACCGGAUAAUAUUUUGAACCGCAUGGUUCAAAAGUGAAAGACGGUCUUGCUGUCACUUAUAGAUGGAUCCGCGCUGCAUUAGCUAGUUGGUAAGGUAACGGCUUACCAAGGCAACGAUGCAUAGCCGACCUGAGAGGGUGAUCGGCCACACUGGAACUGAGACACGGUCCAGACUCCUACGGGAGGCAGCAGUAGGGAAUCUUCCGCAAUGGGCGAAAGCCUGACGGAGCAACGCCGCGUGAGUGAUGAAGGUCUUCGGAUCGUAAAACUCUGUUAUUAGGGAAGAACAGAUGUGUAAGUAACUGUGCACAUCUUGACGGUACCUAAUCAGAAAACCACGGCUAACUACGU
This 496-nucleotide ribosomal RNA is filed under the name uncultured bacterium. Its description in RNAcentral is "partial 16S ribosomal RNA". It matches the Rfam family "Bacterial small subunit ribosomal RNA", at positions 28 to 506 of the family's 1533-position model. The record is from RNAcentral.